CCUACGGGAGGCAGCAGUGAGGAAUAUUGGUCAAUGGACGAGAGUCUGAACCAGCCAAGUAGCGUGAAGGAUGACUGCCCUAUGGGUUGUAAACUUCUUUUAUAUGGGAAUAAAAUGUUCCACGUGUGGGAUUUUGUAUGUACCAUAUGAAUAAGGAUCGGCUAACUCCGUGCCAGCAGCCGCGGUAAUACGGAGGAUCCGAGCGUUAUCCGGAUUUUUUGUGUUUAAAGGGAGCGUAGGUGGAUUGUUAAGUCAGUUGUGAAAGUUUGAGGCUCAACCGUAAAAUUGCAGUUGAAACUGGCAGUCUUGAGUACAGUAGAGGUGGGCGGAAUUCGUGGUGUAGCGGUGAAAUGCUUAGAUAUCACGAAGAACUCCGAUUGCGAAGGCAGUUCACUGGACUGCAACUGACGCUGAAGCACGAAAGCGUGGGUAUCGAACAGGAUUAGAUACCCCUGUAGUC
This 460-nucleotide ribosomal RNA is filed under the name uncultured bacterium. Its description in RNAcentral is "partial 16S ribosomal RNA". It matches the Rfam family "Bacterial small subunit ribosomal RNA", at positions 338 to 795 of the family's 1533-position model. The record is from RNAcentral.